Molecule: small nucleolar RNA, 135 nt
Organism: Phascolarctos cinereus (koala)
Lineage: Eukaryota; Metazoa; Chordata; Mammalia; Diprotodontia; Phascolarctidae
Gene: SNORA70
Rfam family: Small nucleolar RNA SNORA70
About the family: snoRNA U70 seems to be exclusive to mammals and is a member of the H/ACA class of snoRNA which contain H (ANANNA) and ACA box motifs. H/ACA box snoRNAs are involved in the conversion of uridines to pseudouridines (5-ribosyluracil) a constituent of structural RNAs (transfer, ribosomal, small nuclear, and small nucleolar).
Source: Ensembl
CCGCAGCCAAUUACGCACACCAACCCAAUUCUGUCUGUGUGGAGCUGGUGUGCAGUGGUUGCAGACAGCGUUUCCCUGAGUGUGUGUGUACCUUGUCCUUAAUACAGGGUAUUCUAAGGGACCUCUGAGACACUU